UGGGGAAUAUUGGACAAUGGGCGCAAGCCUGAUCCAGCCAUGCCGCGUGCAGGAAGAAGCAUCUAUGGUGUGUAAACUGCUUUUGUACGGGAAGAAACACUCCUACGUGUAGGAGCUUGACGGUACCGUAAGAAUAAGGAUCGGCUAACUCCGUGCCAGCAGCCGCGGUAAUACGGAGGAUCCAAGCGUUAUCCGGAAUCAUUGGGUUUAAAGGGUCCGUAGGCGGUUCAAUAAGUCAGUGGUGAAAGCCCAUCGCUCAACGAUGGAACGGCCAUUGAUACUGUUAGACUUGAAUUACGAGGAAGUAACUAGAAUAUGUAGUGUAGCGGUGAAAUGCCUAGAUAUUACAUGGAAUACCAAGUGCGAAGGCAGGUUACUACUUGUGGAUUGACGCUGAUGGACGAAAGCGUGGGAGCGAACA
RNAcentral lists this ribosomal RNA (421 nucleotides) under uncultured bacterium. Its description in RNAcentral is "bacterial SSU rRNA". It matches the Rfam family "Bacterial small subunit ribosomal RNA", at positions 355 to 774 of the family's 1533-position model. The record is from RNAcentral.